Molecule: long non-coding RNA, 769 nt
Filed under: Amborella trichopoda
Lineage: Eukaryota; Viridiplantae; Streptophyta; Magnoliopsida; Amborellales; Amborellaceae
Description: long non-coding RNA (ATRI_LNC003735)
Source: RNAcentral
GUCUGCAAACUCUCUGUGUCAGGCAUGGUUUGCAAAUUCUCUGUCUCAGGUAUGGUCUGCAAACUCUCUGUGCCAGGCAUGGUUUGCAAAUUCUCUGUCUCAGGCACGGUCUGCAAAUUCUCUGCCUCUGUCUCCUCAACGGAAACCCAAGAAUAAUUUUCAGGAAUAACCUUCAAAUCUUCCAUUUCCUUCUCUUCCAUAGAAACCCUAGAACCGCUCUCAGGAAUUGGCUCAAAAUCCUCCAUUAACUGCUCAUCCGUAGAAGCCCUAUUACUUCUUUCAGGGAUAGGCUCGACAUCCUCAGUUACAUUCUCGUCCACAGAAACCAUAGAAUCACUUUCAGGAAUCGGCUCAAAAUCCUCAGAAUUCACACCAUGAAUGGCCUCAAAAUCCCCCAUUUGUGAAUGUUCCAUCCCGUGCACAUUCCCAUGCCCAUACUGCUGAGCUUGAAGCUCCUCUAAUCUCGUCUCAUGCAUACAAUCCAUGAACGCAUGGCCUGGGUCCAGAGAAUGGUCAAAAUGCAAAGGCCUGUAAACAUCUGAAGGGUCCUCUUCAACAAUGGCAACCCGAGGAUCAUAUGGGCUCUCUAUUGUUGCAGGCCUAUAAACGUCGUUAGGGUCUUCUUCGUCCAUGGCGGGAACCCUAGAAAUUGCAGGCUAGGGCUCAAACCCAAUAACUACAGAUUAGGGUUUUAAGGUUUGAAACCCUAGAAUUGCAGAGCAGCUACAAAGCCUGGGGCGACGUUUGAAACGGUUUAAUAAUAAGCAAG